AGCCUUGUAGUGUAACGGCAACACAGUCGCUUGUAUUAAUUCAAAAUGGUGAACAGCGAGAGACCCCCGUUCGACUCGGGGCGUGGCCA
Molecule: non-coding RNA, 89 nt
Organism: Mycena galericulata
Lineage: Eukaryota; Fungi; Basidiomycota; Agaricomycetes; Agaricales; Mycenaceae
Source: the annotation of a GenBank genome assembly